AACUUUUGGCAACGGAUCACUUGGCUCUCGCAUCGAUGAAGAACGCAGCGAAAUGCGAUACGUAAUGUGAAUUGCAGAAUUCGGUGAAUCAUCGAAUCUUUGAACGCACCUUGCGCCCUUUGGUAUUCCGAGGGGCACACCCGUUUGAGUGUCGUGACAUUCUCAAAACCUUCUCGGUUUCUCGACCGGGAAGGCUUUGGACUUUGGAGGCUUUUGCUGGCAUUCCUUUGUUGGAGCCAGCUCCUCUGAAAUGAAUUAGUGGGGUCUGCUUUGCCGAUCCUUGACGUGAUAAGAUGUUUUCUACGUCUUGGGUUUUAGCACUCCUGCUUCUAACCGUCUCACAGUAGACAAAUGGUCCACUCGACCCACAAACCUUGACCUCAAAUCAGGUAGGACUACCCGCUGAACUUAAGCAUAUCAAUAAGCGGAGGCU
This 433-nucleotide unclassified non-coding RNA is filed under the name uncultured Russula. Its description in RNAcentral is "sequence contains ITS2". The stretch from base 1 to 154 matches the Rfam family "5.8S ribosomal RNA". The record is from RNAcentral. Lineage: Eukaryota; Fungi; Basidiomycota; Agaricomycetes; Russulales; Russulaceae.